RNAcentral lists this ribosomal RNA (497 nucleotides) under uncultured bacterium. Its description in RNAcentral is "partial 16S ribosomal RNA". It matches the Rfam family "Bacterial small subunit ribosomal RNA", at positions 28 to 507 of the family's 1533-position model. The record is from RNAcentral.
GACGAACGCUGGCGGCGUGCCUAAUACAUGCAAGUUGAGCGCUGAAGGUUGGUACUUGUACCAACUGGAUGAGCAGCGAACGGGUGAGUAACGCGUGGGGAAUCUGCCUUUGAGCGGGGGACAACAUUUGGAAACGAAUGCUAAUACCGCAUAAAAACUUUAAACACAAGUUUUAAGUUUGAAAGAUGCAAUUGCAUCACUCAAAGAUGAUCCCGCGUUGUAUUAGCUAGUUGGUGAGGUAAAGGCUCACCAAGGCGAUGAUACAUAGCCGACCUGAGAGGGUGAUCGGCCACAUUGGGACUGAGACACGGCCCAAACUCCUACGGGAGGCAGCAGUAGGGAAUCUUCGGCAAUAGACGAAAGUCUGACCGAGCAACGCCGCGUGAGUGAAGAAGGUUUUCGGAUCGUAAAACUCUGUUGGUAGAGAAGAACGUUGGUGGGAGUGGAAAGCUCAUCAAGUGACGGUAACUACCCAGAAAGGGACGGCUAACUACGUG